CAGAGCUCCACAGUAAUAAUACUCCCAGUAAUGUUACUGAGUGUAUAACAGAGCUCCACAGCAAUAAUACUCCCAGUAAUGUGUCUGAGUGUAUAACAGAGCUCCACAGCAAUAAUACUCCCAGUAACGUGACUGAGUGUAUAAUAGAGCUCCACAGUAAUAAUACUCCCAGUAAUGUGUCGGGUGGUAGGGUGAAAACCGGUGUCUAAAAGGAAGAAAUGGAGCGUGGGAGGUAAACCAUGAAAUGGGGAGCUGGAGGAAACUGGGGAACAGAGAAUAUGAAUUUCUAAAAACAUUUACUUUGCUGGAGGAAGCCACAUCUUAGAGCUGAAAACUUGUCUUCCAUGUAUGUCUUGCAGGAUGGGCCAUGUAUGUCUUCCAUGUAUGUCUUGCAGGAUGGGCCAUGUAUGUCUUCCAUGUAUGUCUUGCAGGAUGGGCCAGGUAUGUCUUCCAUGUAUGUCUUGCAGCCAAUGACCUCACUAAAGUGACAUGAAAGUGACCUUAUGGCCAACGGGCCCCUAGGGCACUACAUUCAGAGGGUUCAUUUACAGCACUGAAGGCACAGUCACAGCAAGGACGGUUCAUGUGUUCCUUUGUUCUGUUUUGAUAAUACUUUACACCAGUCUCCAAGCAUACAUGGGACAGGCAUAUUAAGUCAUGUAUUUAAAUACUGUAAAUAAAAUUUCAUUCACAAC
Molecule: non-coding RNA, 695 nt
Organism: Pelobates cultripes (western spadefoot toad)
Lineage: Eukaryota; Metazoa; Chordata; Amphibia; Anura; Pelobatidae
Source: the annotation of a GenBank genome assembly